Molecule: unclassified non-coding RNA, 117 nt
Organism: Macaca fascicularis (crab-eating macaque)
Lineage: Eukaryota; Metazoa; Chordata; Mammalia; Primates; Cercopithecidae
Rfam family: Metazoan signal recognition particle RNA
About the family: The signal recognition particle (SRP) is a universally conserved ribonucleoprotein. It is involved in the co-translational targeting of proteins to membranes.
Source: Ensembl
GCCGGGCAUGGUGGCUCAUGCCUGUAAUCCCAGUACUUUGGGAGGCUGAGACGGGUGGAUCACCUGAGGUCAGGAGUUUGAGACCAGCCUGGCCAACACGGUGAAAGUCCGUCUCUA